Molecule: non-coding RNA, 498 nt
Filed under: uncultured Archaeospora
Lineage: Eukaryota; Fungi; Glomeromycota; Glomeromycetes; Archaeosporales; Archaeosporaceae
Also listed under: 1 other name
Description: SSU rRNA
Rfam family: Eukaryotic small subunit ribosomal RNA
Source: RNAcentral
CCAAUAGCGUAUAUUAAAGUUGUUGCAGUUAAAAAGCUCGUAGUUGAAUUUUAGGCCUGGCCAGGCGGUCCGUCUUUGGCGAGUACUGUCUUGUUGUCGGGUCUUCCUUCUGGUGAACCAGUAUGUCCUUUAUUGGGUGUGUUGGGGAGCCAGGACCAUUACCUUGAAAAAAUUAGAGUGUUUAAAGCGGGCUAUUGCUUGAAUAGAUUAGCAUGGAAUAAUAGAAUAGGACGUUGUGGUUCUAUUUUGUUGGUUUCUAGGACCACCGUAAUGAUUAAUAGGGAUAGUUGGGGGCAUUAGUAUUCAAUUGUCAGAGGUGAAAUUCUUGGAUUUAUUGAAGACUAACUAUUGCGAAAGCAUUUGCCAAGGAUGUUUUCAUUAAUCAAGAACGAAAGUUAGGGGAUCGAAGACGAUCAGAUACCGUCGUAGUCUUAACCAUAAACUAUGCCGACUAGGAAUCGGGCGACGUUAUUUUAAUGACUCGCUCGGCGCCUUAUG